GUUUAUAUAAUUUAAAUAAGAUAUUAGACUGUGACUCUAACUAUGAGAGUUAAAACCCCUCUAUAAACC
Molecule: transfer RNA, 69 nt
Filed under: Aneides flavipunctatus (black salamander)
Lineage: Eukaryota; Metazoa; Chordata; Amphibia; Caudata; Plethodontidae
Description: tRNA-His
Rfam family: tRNA
About the family: Transfer RNA (tRNA) molecules are approximately 80 nucleotides in length.
Source: RNAcentral